Molecule: ribosomal RNA, 570 nt
Filed under: Chlamydia caviae
Lineage: Bacteria; Pseudomonadati; Chlamydiota; Chlamydiia; Chlamydiales; Chlamydiaceae
Description: bacterial SSU rRNA
Rfam family: Bacterial small subunit ribosomal RNA
Source: RNAcentral
UAAUGGCCUACCAAGGCUUUGACGUCUAGGCGGAUUGAGAGAUUGACCGCCAACACUGGGACUGAGACACUGCCCAGACUUCUACGGAAGGCUGCAGUCGAGAAUCUUUCGCAAUGGACGAAAGUCUGACGAAGCGACGCCGCGUGUGUGAUGAAGGCUCUAGGGUUGUAAAGCACUUUCGCUUGGGAAUAAGAGAAGUUGGCUAAUAUCCAACUGAUUUGAGCGUACCAGGUAAAGAAGCACCGGCUAACUCCGUGCCAGCAGCUGCGGUAAUACGGAGGGUGCUAGCGUUAAUCGGAUUUAUUGGGCGUAAAGGGCGUGUAGGCGGAAAGGAAAGUUAGAUGUUAAAUCUUGGGGCUCAACCCCAAGCCAGCAUCUAAUACUAUCUUUCUAGAGGGUAGAUGGAGAAAAGGGAAUUCCACGUGUAGCGGUGAAAUGCGUAGAUAUGUGGAAGAACACCAGUGGCGAAGGCGCUUUUCUAAUUUACACCUGACGCUAAGGCGCGAAAGCAAGGGGAGCAAACAGGAUUAGAUACCCUGGUAGUCCUUGCCGUAAACGAUGCAUACUUGA